Molecule: unclassified non-coding RNA, 336 nt
Filed under: soil metagenome
Description: partial contains 5.8S ribosomal RNA, internal transcribed spacer 2, and large subunit ribosomal RNA
Rfam family: 5.8S ribosomal RNA (bases 1-120)
Source: RNAcentral
GAUGAAGAACGUAGCGAAAUGCGAUAAGUAGUGUGAAUUGCAGAAUUCAGUGAAUCAUCGAAUCUUUGAACGCACAUUGCGCCCCUUGGUAUUCCAUGGGGCAUGCCUGUUCGAGCGUCAUUUGUACCUUCAAGCUCUGCUUGGUGUUGGGUGUUUGUCUCGCCUCUGCGCGUAGACUCGCCUCAAAACAAUUGGCAGCCGGCGUAUUGAUUUCGGAGCGCAGUACAUCUCGCGCUUUGCACUCAUAACGACGACGUCCAAAAGUACAUUUUUACACUCUUGACCUCGGAUCAGGUAGGGAUACCCGCUGAACUUAAGCAUAUCAUAAGCGGAGGA